This 127-nucleotide small RNA is filed under the name Marmota monax (woodchuck). Lineage: Eukaryota; Metazoa; Chordata; Mammalia; Rodentia; Sciuridae. The record is from RNAcentral.
GCCAGGUGCGUUGGCACACGCCUGUAAUCCCAGCAGCACAGGAGGCUGCGGCAGGAGGAUCACAAAUUCAAAGGAAGCCUCAGCAACUUAGCAAGGCCCUAUGCAACACAGUGAGACCAUGUUUCUA